This 253-nucleotide ribosomal RNA is filed under the name uncultured bacterium. RNAcentral describes it as "partial 16S ribosomal RNA". It matches the Rfam family "Bacterial small subunit ribosomal RNA", at positions 524 to 776 of the family's 1533-position model. The record is from RNAcentral.
UACGUAGGUGACAAGCGUUGUCCGGAUUUACUGGGCGUAAAGAGCGCGCAGGCGGUCGAUCAAGUCGAGUGUGAAAGCCCCCGGCUCAACUGGGGAGGGUCAUUCGAUACUGAUCGACUCGAAGGCAAGAGAGGGUAGUGGAAUUCCCGGUGUAGUGGUGAAAUGCGUAGAUAUCGGGAGGAACACCAGUGGCGAAGGCGACUACCUGGCCUGUUCUUGACGCUGAGGCGCGAAAGCUAGGGGAGCAAACGGG